UAUUUUAAAGAGAGUUUGAUCCUGGCUCAGGACGAACGCUGGCGGCGUGCCUAAUACAUGCAAGUCGAACGAACGGAGGAAGAGCUUGCUCUUCCAAAGUUAGUGGCGGACGGGUGAGUAACACGUGGGCAACCUUCCUGUAAGUUGGGGAUAACUCCGGGAAACCGGGGCUAAUACCGAAUGAUAGAAUGUGGCGCAUGCCACGCUUUUGAAAGAUGGUUUCGGCUAUCGCUUACAGAUGGGCCCGCGGUGCAUUAGCUAGUUGGUAGGGUAAUGGCCUACCAAGGCAACGAUGCAUAG
Molecule: ribosomal RNA, 300 nt
Filed under: Listeria monocytogenes
Lineage: Bacteria; Bacillati; Bacillota; Bacilli; Caryophanales; Listeriaceae
Description: partial 16S ribosomal RNA
Rfam family: Bacterial small subunit ribosomal RNA
Source: RNAcentral